RNAcentral lists this unclassified non-coding RNA (342 nucleotides) under soil metagenome. Its description in RNAcentral is "partial contains 5.8S ribosomal RNA, internal transcribed spacer 2, and large subunit ribosomal RNA". The stretch from base 1 to 120 matches the Rfam family "5.8S ribosomal RNA", at positions 35 to 154 of the family's 154-position model. The record is from RNAcentral.
GAUGAAGAACGUAGCGAAAUGCGAUAAGUAAUGUGAAUUGCAGAAUUCAGUGAAUCAUCGAAUCUUUGAACGCACAUUGCGCCCGCCAGCAUUCUGGCGGGCAUGCCUGUUCGAGCGUCAUUUCAACCCUCGAGCCCCCCCGGGGGCCUCGGUGUUGGGGGACGGCACACCAGCCGCCCCCGAAAUGCAGUGGCGACCCCGCCGCAGCCUCCCCUGCGUAGUAGCACACACCUCGCACCGGAGCGCGGAGGCGGUCACGCCGUAAAACGCCCAACUUUCUUAGAGUUGACCUCGGAUCAGGUAGGAAUACCCGCUGAACUUAAGCAUAUCAAUAACGGAGGA